CACGUAGGGGGCAAGCGUUGUCCGGAUUCAUUGGGCGUAAAGGGUGCGUAGGCGGCGCGGUAAGUCGGGUGUGAAAUCUCGGAGCUUAACUCCGAAACUGCAUUCGAUACUGCCGUGCUUGAGGACUGGAGAGGAGACUGGAAUUUACGGUGUAGCGGUGAAAUGCGUAGAUAUCGUAAGGAAGACCAGUGGCGAAGGCGGGUCUCUGGACAGUUCCUGACGCUGAGGCACGAAGGUCAGGGGAGCAAACGGG
This 253-nucleotide ribosomal RNA is filed under the name uncultured bacterium. RNAcentral describes it as "partial 16S ribosomal RNA". It matches the Rfam family "Bacterial small subunit ribosomal RNA", at positions 524 to 776 of the family's 1533-position model. The record is from RNAcentral.